This is a transfer RNA of Plasmodiophora brassicae, 73 nucleotides long. It matches the Rfam family "tRNA". From Rfam's summary of the family: Transfer RNA (tRNA) molecules are approximately 80 nucleotides in length. NCBI's taxonomy places the organism in Eukaryota, Endomyxa, Phytomyxea, Plasmodiophorida, Plasmodiophoridae. The record is from Rfam.
CGCUUGGUAGCUCAGUAGGAAGAGCGAUGGGCCCAUAACCCAUAGGUCCCACGAUCGAAGCGUGGCCGAGCGA